Molecule: ribosomal RNA, 775 nt
Filed under: uncultured Neocallimastigales
Lineage: Eukaryota; Fungi; Neocallimastigomycota; Neocallimastigomycetes; Neocallimastigales
Description: partial large subunit ribosomal RNA
Rfam family: Eukaryotic large subunit ribosomal RNA
Source: RNAcentral
UACUAGAGUAGCACUCGCAUAUCAAUAAGCGGAGGAAAAGAAACUAACAAGGAUUCCCCUAGUAACGGCGAGUGAAGCGGGAAGAGCUCAAAUUUGAAAUCUUAAAGGGUUUCCCUUUACGAAUUGUAGUUUAAAGAAGUGUUUUCUGUUGAGGUUUUGGUAAAAGUUCUUUGGAAUAGGACAUCAUAGAGGGUGAGAAUCCCGUAUUUGACCUUUACUUUCAACUUUGUGAUACACUUUCAAAGAGUCGGAUUGUUUGGGAAUGCAGUCCAAAAUGGGUGGUAAAUUUCAUCUAAAGCUAAAUAUUGGCGAGAGACCGAUAGCGAACAAGUACCGUGAGGGAAAGAUGAAAAGAACUUUGAAAAGAGAGUUAAACAGUACGUGAAAUUGUCAAAAGGGAAGCGUUUGACACCAGUGUUGUUUUUCUGAAAAUCAAUUAAAGAACUGUUUAUGCUAAGUUGUUUAGACUUUAUCAGCUAACUGUUUAGUUUUGAGCUUUUCUUUAAUGCACUUUUCAGUUAACAAGUCAACAUCAAUUUCUUUUGCUGUAAAAAAGCUUGAGGAAGGUGGCUUGAGAUUCGUCUUAAGUGUUUAUAGCCUCUUGCCUAUGCAGUCGGAGAGAUUGAGGUCUGCAGCGUAGAUCCUUCGGGGCUAAAUGCAUUUGUGCUAAGUUAUAGCAUUUUAUAGGACAACUUGUUGACUAUGAUUUGUCUUGUAGCUUACUCGCUUAUGUUAUUUUACCUACGCUUAGGAUGUUGAGCGCAUGUCUCUCUCU